Oryza glumipatula is the source of this 208-nucleotide non-coding RNA. Lineage: Eukaryota; Viridiplantae; Streptophyta; Magnoliopsida; Poales; Poaceae. The record is from Rfam.
AAUAAACGUAGUUUUGCACUAUUCAUCUCCAACGUUUGACCGUUCGUCUUAUUUGAAAAAAAUUUAUGAUUAUUAUUUUUAUUGUUAUUAGAUGAUAAAACAUGAAUAAUACUUUAUGUGUGACUAAUUUUUUUAAUUUUUUUAUAUAUUAUUUUAAAUAAAACGGACGGUCAAACGUUGGACACGGAUUUUCACGGGUGUACUUAUU